GUGCUUGCUUGGGCAGCACAUAUACUAAAAUUGGAACG
RNAcentral lists this small nuclear RNA (38 nucleotides) under Cervus elaphus hippelaphus. Lineage: Eukaryota; Metazoa; Chordata; Mammalia; Artiodactyla; Cervidae. The record is from RNAcentral.